RNAcentral lists this small nuclear RNA (153 nucleotides) under Nadsonia fulvescens var. elongata DSM 6958. RNAcentral describes it as "U4 spliceosomal RNA". It matches the Rfam family "U4 spliceosomal RNA". From Rfam's summary of the family: U4 small nuclear RNA (U4 snRNA) is a component of the major U2-dependent spliceosome. Lineage: Eukaryota; Fungi; Ascomycota; Dipodascomycetes; Dipodascales. The record is from Rfam by way of RNAcentral.
AUCUUUAUGCUCGGGCAUUACGCAUAUCAGUGAGGAUUCGUCCGAGAUUGUGUAUUUGCUGGUUGAAAACUUUAACCUGACCGCUCUUGUUUACUUUUUCGUUAGUCUAUGACUAGCAUUAGUGAAUGAGGAAUUUUUGGAACCUUUAUUUAA